This 466-nucleotide ribosomal RNA is filed under the name uncultured bacterium. RNAcentral describes it as "partial 16S ribosomal RNA". It matches the Rfam family "Bacterial small subunit ribosomal RNA", at positions 28 to 507 of the family's 1533-position model. The record is from RNAcentral.
GACGAACGCUGGCGGCGUGCUUAACACAUGCAAGUCGAACGGAAAGGCCCUGCUUGCAGGGUACUCGAGUGGCGAACGGGUGAGUAACACGUGGGUGAUCUGCCCUGCACUUCGGGAUAAGCCUGGGAAACUGGGUCUAAUACCGGAUAGGAGCCAUUUUUAGUGUGAUGGUUGGAAAGUUUUUUUCGGUGUAGGAUGAGCUCGCGGCCUAUCAGCUUGUUGGUGGGGUAAUGGCCUACCAAGGCGGCGACGGGUAGCCGGCCUGAGAGGGUGGACGGCCACAUUGGGACUGAGAUACGGCCCAGACUCCUACGGGAGGCAGCAGUGGGGAAUAUUGCACAAUGGGCGCAAGCCUGAUGCAGCGACGCCGCGUGGGGGAUGACGGACUUCGGGUUGUAAACUCCUUUCGCUAGGGACGAAGCUUUUUGUGACGGUACCUAGAUAAGAAGCACCGGCUAACUACGUG